This 585-nucleotide long non-coding RNA is filed under the name Rattus norvegicus (Norway rat). Its description in RNAcentral is "long non-coding RNA NONRATT012732". Lineage: Eukaryota; Metazoa; Chordata; Mammalia; Rodentia; Muridae. The record is from RNAcentral.
GGGGAUGGAGCAGCUGUGUGCCAAACAUUAGCAUCGGGCCUUUUAAAAAUAGAGGCUGAUGUAUUUCAGAAAUGCUUACCCUCUGAACAGGCAAGUGGAAGGCCUGGAUAUAUCUUAAAGUUUUUAUCUAACCCUUGUGGGAGUUGGGUGCAAAGAGGGAGAUGGGGAGGAGAAGGAGGAAGAGGAAGGAGGAAGUGGAAGGAGAGGAGGAAGGGGAGGGAGAGGAGGAAAAGAAGAUGAGGAAGAAGAGGAGGAGGGGGAAGAGGAGAAGGAGGGGAGGAAGAAGAGGAGGAAGAGGAAGGGGAGAAGGAUAGGGAUUGCUUUGCACAAAACGUUCCUAAGGAAAAAGAAGGUCUGUUGCUUCUGUUAUGUAGUGUGGUGGGCUGAGUGCUGUCAUUUCUACUGCUGUGUGGCUCAGGGCUGGUGUAUUCACAGGGUCCCUUCUGAAUGUGUGUGCACACGCGUGUGUGCUCGUGCUUUGGGGAGUGACCUUCUACUUGCCAGUGGCUGGCUAGGGUUGUUGCUGUAGCCAUCAGCCACUGGCCUUGUCAUUCAAAGUAGACAUGAUACUUGGAAUCUUCCCUU